GGCUUAAUUUGACUCAACGCGGGAAAUCUUACCGGGUCCGGACACACUGAGGAUUGACAGAUAUAUACCCCGUGAUUUUAUCGCGGGGUUGAAAGAUGCUAGUUCUUUCAUGAUUAUGUGAUAGGUGGUGCAUGGCCGUUCUUAGUUCGUGGAGUGAUCUGUCUGCUUAAUUGCGUAUCAAUAAUAGAGACCUAGUAUACGCGUAGACUCAUGCGGUAGUGACCCCCCUUCACAGGGCGCGUGUCGCACGUAUGUUAUACGCACAGGUCUCCGAUAGCAACGAACGUGACCGUACUCUAUUGUUGCAGCGACAAUACCUUUCAACGGGUAUUACCGCUGCUUAGCAAGAUUCGUCUUGCAUUAAACUAUAGAGACC
RNAcentral lists this ribosomal RNA (376 nucleotides) under Ammonia sp. genotype T6. RNAcentral describes it as "SSU rRNA". It matches the Rfam family "Eukaryotic small subunit ribosomal RNA", at positions 1187 to 1421 of the family's 1831-position model. Lineage: Eukaryota; Foraminifera; Rotaliida; Rotaliidae. The record is from RNAcentral.